This 252-nucleotide ribosomal RNA is filed under the name uncultured bacterium. RNAcentral's name for it is "partial 16S ribosomal RNA". It matches the Rfam family "Bacterial small subunit ribosomal RNA", at positions 524 to 776 of the family's 1533-position model. The record is from RNAcentral.
UACGUAGGUCCCGAGCGUUGUCCGGAUUUAUUGGGCGUAAAGCGAGCGCAGGUGGUUAAUUAAGUCUGGUGUAAAAGGCAGUGGCUCAACCAUUGUAUGCAUUGGAAACUGGUAGACUUGAGUGCAGGAGAGGAGAGUGGAAUUCCAUGUGUAGCGGUGAAAUGCGUAGAUAUAUGGAGGAACACCAGUGGCGAAGGCGGCUUACUGGACUGUAACUGACGUUGAGGCUCGAAAGCGUGGGGAGCAAACAGG